Molecule: non-coding RNA, 84 nt
Organism: Acipenser ruthenus (sterlet)
Lineage: Eukaryota; Metazoa; Chordata; Actinopteri; Acipenseriformes; Acipenseridae
Source: the annotation of a RefSeq genome assembly
ACUAUCGUGGCCAAGUGGUUAUGGCAUUAGAUUUAAAAUCUAAUGGGUGAACAACCCUCACAGGUUCGAAUCCUGUUGAUAGUA